Heteronotia binoei (common prickly gecko) is the source of this 103-nucleotide small nuclear RNA. The record is from RefSeq and is a predicted model, not a curated record. Lineage: Eukaryota; Metazoa; Chordata; Lepidosauria; Squamata; Gekkonidae.
GUGCUCGCUUCGGCAGCACAUAUACUAAAAUUGGAACGAUACAGAGAAGAUUAGCAUCUGAGCAGAUAUGUUUUGUUCAGCAUGAAAAAUCAUUCUGAUGUUG